Molecule: long non-coding RNA, 404 nt
Filed under: Lathyrus oleraceus (garden pea)
Lineage: Eukaryota; Viridiplantae; Streptophyta; Magnoliopsida; Fabales; Fabaceae
Description: Pisum sativum (pea) long non-coding RNA (PSAT_LNC003135)
Source: RNAcentral
UUGGAUGACGUCUAAGCUAUAAUUCAAUAACUCAUGUUGUGGUUCCCACCUCCAGAGUGAGGUUAUUCUGAGUUAUACUCCUUAUUUAUUACGCUUAAACAUUAAGGACAAUAUUUGGUUCAAGUUUGGGAGGGAAUCUAUUUAUUUUCUUGCAUUUAUUUAUUUAUUUUUAUCGCAUUUUUAUUUCUUUCACUUUUAUGUUUUUGUUUCUUUCUGGUUUUUAGUUAUUUCUAGUUUGAUUGAUGCAUUAAGACCACCGUUUUUUAGUCUUUCCCAAAACUAAGUUCGUGGAUUUUUUUUAAUGACAAUCUUCGGUUGUGGGGAAGAUAAGAAAGUAUAUAGAGUUUAAGUGACGAAAGGCUAGGACUAGGGAAAUUGGGAAUGUUUGAAAACUUAGGUAUUAC